RNAcentral lists this ribosomal RNA (274 nucleotides) under uncultured bacterium. Its description in RNAcentral is "partial 16S ribosomal RNA". It matches the Rfam family "Bacterial small subunit ribosomal RNA", at positions 523 to 796 of the family's 1533-position model. The record is from RNAcentral.
CGACGUAGGGGGCUAGCGUUGCCCGGAUUCACUGGGCGUAAAGCGCGCGUAGGCGGUUCGGCAAGUCGCCCGUGAAAGCCCCUGGCUCAACUGGGGGAGGUCGGGCGAUACUGCCGGGCUAGAGGGCGGCAGAGGGAGGUGGAACGGCCGGAGUAGCGGUGAAAUGCGUAGAUACCGGCCGGAAUCCCGAUGGCGAAGGCAACCUCCUGGGCCGUUCCUGACGCUAAGGCGCGAAAGCUGGGGGAGCGAACCGGAUUAGAUACCCUAGUAGUCC